This 114-nucleotide ribosomal RNA is filed under the name Prolemur simus (greater bamboo lemur). Lineage: Eukaryota; Metazoa; Chordata; Mammalia; Primates; Lemuridae. The record is from RNAcentral.
GUCUACUGCCAUACCACCCUGAACGUGCUGGAUCUCGCCUGCUCUUGGAAGCUAAGCAGCGUCAGGCCUGGUUAGUACUUGGGUGGGAGAAUCAGAAAAAAAGGAAGAAAGACU